Macaca fascicularis (crab-eating macaque) is the source of this 2819-nucleotide long non-coding RNA. The record is from Ensembl. Lineage: Eukaryota; Metazoa; Chordata; Mammalia; Primates; Cercopithecidae.
CUGUUAGAUGUAAAUUAUUUUGUGUUCUCGUAGUUGUGAACGCAGAGAACAGUUUAGGUGUCAGAAAUUCGGGAAAGUAGAUAAAUUUUAUUGUGCCUCCAAAUCUUACCUUGACUAGUUUCACAAUUUUGCCUCAAGUGUACUUUGCUACUUUUGAUAUUGCGUUGUUCUGUAACUUAACAGUUAAAUUGGGUGCUAAUAGAAAAUUAAAAAGUGUUUGCAACCAUUGGAACAAUGCAAAAAUAAAUUAGGAAAAAUUAAUGGUGUAAACCCACACCCCGUCGUCCUUACCCCUUCCUUUCCUUACCUUGUUUCUUCCCAGAAAACAAGUGCUGAGGAUGCGAAGUACAUCCUUCCACCUAUUUUCCCUAUCUUCAUACAGAAAGUAUGUUCUAAUAGUUUCUGUAAAAAUGGCAAGCCACAUGCUUUUCUCACUUGACAUGUAGAUGAUACCUCCUUAUCAGUAGCUUCGGUCUUUCUUGCUCUCUGGCUCUCCCUGGCCCUCACUCUUACUCUCUUGCACUCUCACUCUCCCCCUCCCUCCCUUCCUCUAACAGCUGAAUACACAGUACUUGCUGAUGUGCCAAAAAAGCAUUCAGUCAUUUCAUUAUUUAUCGUCUUUUAUUUCCCUUUUUUUUUUUUCAAAAUAACGCUGCUGUAAUACAUAAUACUGGUGCUUUUAUGUCUAUAGGUUGGAGUCCCAGAAAUACUAUGUAGGCAUAUGUUUCAGAAAUAUUACAAGAUUACUAUCCAAAAUGAAAGCACCCAUUUCAGCAUCCUCUUCAGCACUCUUUAAUGCUUGAAAAUAUGAAAGGCUAAAAAUUGCAUUGUAUUGCUUGUGACUUUAAUUGCCUUUUAUCUGAGUUCAAAGAGGUUUGUUGUUGCUGUCCUUAUUUCUGUUUGGAUUUUUCUCUGAUUUGCCUGUUCUUUCCCUUCGUUCAUGUAUCUAUUGAUGUUUUUCAUUAUAAAUUUGUAGAAAUUCUUACUACAUAGUGCAUAUGAAUCAUUUGUAGCUCUAAUGUGUUAUGAUUUUUUCAUCUUGACUUUAUUGAUCAUGUAUUUUCCUUUAAAAUUUUUAAACAUUUUAGGUAGACCACUAUCUCUUUUAUAGAUUUUGGUUUUCUUUUUUUACCACAUGGAUCCCCCCACCCAAAGUCAUACAAAUAUUCAUCUACAUUUUCUUCUAAUAACUUUAUUAUUUUUAAUGUUUAAAUGUUUGAUCCAUCUGAAAUUUAUUUUUGUAUAUGGUGUAAGAUGGGAAUCCAGCUAUAACAUUUUCUCACAUUGGAUACCUGAUUGUGACAUUUAUUUAAAAUAUUACCCAUUUUCAAAUUUCUGAGCCAAUAUCAUGAUUUAAUUAUAGUGGCUUCAUCGUAAGUUUUAGAAUCCGAUAAAGCAAGUCCCAUGUCAUUAGUUGUUUUCUUUAUACAAUCUGUCCUAGACAUUCAUUCUUUCAUGUGAAAAAAUGAAAUGCAGAAUUUUAAUAAAACUCUAAUUAUGAUGGCUGACAUCACAAUUAUAAUUAUAUUAAAAUCCUGCAUUUUUGUUUAGAGGGCUCUUUAAUAAUAUUAAAUCUUAGCACUCAAGAGUCUUCAUACAUCAUCGAAAUAUUUUGGUCUUGUUAUUGGAAUAUUCUUCACGUAAGUAUAUCAUAGCUAAUUGAAUUUAUUUCUAAGUAUUUUUACAGUUUUAUUUCAUAUUUUGACAUUGUGAAUUGGUUUUUUUCUUCUCAUUUGUAAUUUUCUAUUUUUGACAAUAUAGACAACCUAUAGAUUUUUGUAUUUUUAUCUUCUGUCUAAUAAGCUUAUUUAAUCAUUGAAAUUACAGUAGAUUUUUAAGAAUAUAAUAUUUUGGGUUUCCUAGAUAUGAAAUUAUUUCACCUGAAAAUAUAGAUCAUUUUAUUUCCUCUUAAUGUUUAUACUGAUUACUGUUACAUUAGCUGGAUUUUUCAAAACAAUGUUGAAUAGUGAUGAUGACAGACAUGACUGUCUUGUUCUUAAUUUUCAUGGAAGUAAGAAUGCAAAAUAUUAAUAGGGUAUAGUAUUCCCUAUUAGUAUGACAUUUACUUUUGGUUAUUAGUAGAUAGUCUUUAACAUGUUUAAGAGUUUCUGCUAUUCCUGUUUUAUAGUGUUAUUGCUAGAAGUGGUUCCUGAAUUUUAUAAAAUGUCUUUUCAGCAUCUAUUGAUAAAAUUGUAUGAUUUUUUUUCUCUUUAAUUUGUUGAUGUGAUGAAUUAGAAUGGUAGGUAUUUGAUGUGGAACUAAACUUGUAUUUCUGGAACAAAUCCUUCUUGGUCAUGGUGAAAUAAUGAUUUGCUACAUUACUGGAUUUUAUUUACCAGUACUUAAUUUAGAAUUAUUACAUUUUCAUUCCAAAGUAAAAUUGUAUUUUGUCCUUCUGAUGCUAUCUUUAUCAAGUUUUGUUAUUGAAGUUGUGCUAGCUUUAAAAAAUAUGAUUAUGUGAGUUUUCAAUUUUUUUUCCUGUGGUCUGGAAUAAUUUAAAUAGCAUUAGAAUUAUUUGUUCGUUAAAAGUUAGCUAGGACAAAGUGUAAAACAAUCUAAUCCUGAUGACACUUUUGAUGGUAGAUUUUUAAAUCAGCUUUGUGAUUUCUUUGAUAGUUACUGGUUUAUUCAGGUUUUUUAUUAAAAAGGUAUACACAUUCUCUGUGACAUACGAAGUUAAAAGUUGUCUCUAUUAUUGCUGAUUGUACUGGUUGUUGCUUGUUGACUGUACUAUUCAGAUGCUUUAUGAUUUUGCAUAUUUUAUGUCACCUAGUUCUAAUUCUGAAAACAUUGUAAUAAAAUAAUCAGCUAUAAUGGUA